UUUUUGGAGUUUUUCCCUCUCCCUAACCUCUCCAAUUGCUCGCCGGAGUUCGCGAAUUCCGGCGACCUCUCACCGUGUGUAUAGGAAGCAAUCUACCACCACAACUUGUGCAAGUGGUUCAACUCAUCGUCCUCUACACCGUCCCGCGCGCAUCCUUCACAGAAGGACACUGGAGCCGCCUUCUUCCUUGUCUCCGGCGACAAGUCCGGUGAGCACCCAGACAGCCAAUCACAGAGCGCCACUUGUCCCUGGCCGAUUUUUUUUCUUUUUGAGGAACCUUUUCCAAAUUCAGAUUCUUUACCUAAUCUUCUUUCUAGUAUAUCUUUUAAUCUAUAGAUCCGAUUUAGUUGAUUCGUUUUCCUACUAGUUCAUAAAAAUAUCCUCUAUCCAGAGAACCAAACGAAAAAUAUUUUUGAAAAUUUUAAAAUUUGAAUUCAAACAGAUCUGUAUUCAAACUUCGUUAGGCCGUAACUCGAGUUUCGUAACUCCGUUUUAGGUGAUUCUUUUUGUAAAUCGAAGCUCGUAACAUGUACUUUCUAUUAAAACCAAAAUCAUUUAUUUUUGUUACUGUAAAAAUUACGUUCUGUACAGGAACUUUAUUUCGUUAUUUUUGGAGUUUUCCGAAGUCUUUUAUUUGUUUUCUUUUUGGAUCUUUGCUUGUAUGCUUAUGUAUGUUAUUGCUUGCUUACGCUAGAUCAUCCGGAGUGCGAAGCUUGCUACUACGAAUCUUUAGAGUUCAACGGUCGUCAACAAGGCAAGUUCACACUUUGAUCAUAAUUUUCAAUACUCAGUUUUUACUUUGCAUUAGUUUCACCCUCAAAGACUACAUGAUUAGGAUUGGGAAGAUGUGGUUAUGCUAUGUAGUUCAUGUGGUAGGAACCUAUGACCUUUUGAUCACCCCGGGAAUUUUCGUUAUGUCAUAUAUUGCUUAGCCAUGCUCGUAGACGGGGAUUGAUAUGUGUGAUCCAUGCAAGUUGCAAGAGAUGAUAAUUUUGGGACAACAUAAGGUGGCAACUUUAAUACCCAUCUGGGUGGAUUGUUUGGGGCACCUGGAGAAACCAGUGCUUGCCCAAGGGGAAUCCGGGAGUACCGUGUGAUUACCCUAGGUCCGCCACCCAGGCUCAAAGGGGUCAUAAGAUAUUUCAUGCCUAGAAACUUUCGUGUGCAGCCACAAGCCAUUAUGGGCUGUGGCAUAGUUGAGUAAGUUGUGUGACCUCUUUCCGUGGUAGACUAGCUGAUGUAGGGGAAAGUAGGUGUACCGGUCUACCUAGGGUUAAGGGCAAACGCUUCUGAAAGGCUAUGUCUCGAUCUUCCGAUCAUGGAGGUGGUCGAGUCUUGUGGGGAAAAGUGCACAAACCUCUGCAGAGUGUACAAACUAAUCAUGAUUAGCCGUGUCCCCGGUUAUGGACAACUUGAGUAUCUAGAAGUGAAUUAUUGGUUGAUCUCAUCACUCUAUUUAAUGAAAUUACUGGGUUACUAAUAACUUGGGAAUUUUGGGAUUGAGUUGGAGGAACCUUCUCAAUAAUGGCAUUUUAAUUUAGUAGUAAGUAAAAAUUUAUUCCUUUGUUGUAGGGUAAAAUUGGCUUUAUGCAAAAAUUAAACUUAGAGCCUCCACCAGCUAAAUUUGCAUAUAGAGAUAGUUUUUUAUUAUUAUUAUUCUAUAGUGUGAAAUUGCCAGCAUAUUCCAUGUGCUGACCUACACGGCUGCAACGUCUCAUGUUGCAGACUUUUCCGACGAGGAUUAAAGGUGCGAUAGGUCGUUGUUCUGCACUCAGUUUGCCGUGGAGUUGGAUGGACUCAUUUACCUUCGAUGCUUCCGCAGUUAUUUUAUUUUAGAUGGCCUUUGGCCAUAUUAUUGUAAUAAAUACUCUUUUGAGGAUCUCGAUGUAAUAAAGUGUGUGAUUGAACUCUGUUAUAAUUCCUCGAGUACUGUGUGUGUCAGCAUACCGAUCCAGGGAUGACACGUAAGCACAGAGACUACGAUCCAUUUGGGUCGGGUCGCUACAU
This 2007-nucleotide long non-coding RNA is filed under the name Triticum aestivum (bread wheat). RNAcentral's name for it is "long non-coding RNA (TAES_LNC011907)". Lineage: Eukaryota; Viridiplantae; Streptophyta; Magnoliopsida; Poales; Poaceae. The record is from RNAcentral.